RNAcentral lists this ribosomal RNA (253 nucleotides) under uncultured bacterium. RNAcentral's name for it is "partial 16S ribosomal RNA". It matches the Rfam family "Bacterial small subunit ribosomal RNA", at positions 524 to 776 of the family's 1533-position model. The record is from RNAcentral.
GACGAAGGGGGCUAGCGUUGUUCGGAAUUACUGGGCGUAAAGCGCGUGUAGGCGGUUGCCCAAGUCAGGUGUGAAAGCCUUGAGCUCAACUCAAGAAAUGCACUUGAUACUUGGUGACUAGAGUACCGGAGAGGAUAGUGGAAUUCCCAGUGUAGUGGUGAAAUACGUAGAGAUUGGGAAGAACACCAGUGGCGAAGGCGGCUAUCUGGACGGUUUCUGACGCUAAGACGCGAAAGCGUGGGGAGCAAACAGG